RNAcentral lists this ribosomal RNA (253 nucleotides) under uncultured bacterium. RNAcentral describes it as "partial 16S ribosomal RNA". It matches the Rfam family "Bacterial small subunit ribosomal RNA", at positions 524 to 776 of the family's 1533-position model. The record is from RNAcentral.
UACGUAGGUGGCAAGCGUUGUCCGGAUUUACUGGGUGUAAAGGGCGUGUAGCCGGGCUGACAAGUCAGAUGUGAAAUUCCGGGGCUCAACCCCGGACCUGCAUUUGAAACUGUUGGUCUUGAGUAUCGGAGAGGCAGGCGGAAUUCCUAGUGUAGCGGUGAAGUGCGUAGAUAUUAGGAGGAACACCAGUGGCGAAGGCGGCCUGCUGGACGACAACUGACGGUGAGGCGCGAAAGCGUGGGGAGCAAACAGG